CCUACGGGAGGCAGCAGUGGGGAAUAUUGGGCAAUGGAGGAAACUCUGACCCAGCGACGCCGCGUGCGGGAUGAAGGCCUUCGGGUUGUAAACCGCUUUCAGCAGGGAAGAAGCGAAAGUGACGGUACCUGCAGAAGAAGCACCGGCUAACUAUGUGCCAGCAGCCGCGGUAAUACAUAGGGUGCAAGCGUUGUCCGGAAUUAUUGGGCGUAAAGAGCUCGUAGGUGGUUCGUCACGUCGGAUGUGAAAAUCUGGGGCUUAACCCCAGACCUGCAUUCGAUACGGGCGAGCUUGAGUAUGGUAGGGGAGUCUGGAAUUCCUGGUGUAGCGGUGGAAUGCGCAGAUAUCAGGAGGAACACCAAUGGCGAAGGCAGGACUCUGGGCCAUUACUGACACUGAGGAGCGAAAGCGUGGGGAGCGAACAGGAUUAGAUACCCUGGUAGUCCACGCCGUAAACGGUGGGCACUAGUUGUGGGGACCUUCCACGGUCUCUGCGACGCAGCUAACGCAUUAAGUGCCCCGCCUGGGGAGUACGAUCGCAAGAUUAAAACUCAAAGGAAUUGACGGCUGAGAGNGCGAGACGACGACGAGGGAGAGG
This 598-nucleotide ribosomal RNA is filed under the name uncultured bacterium. Its description in RNAcentral is "bacterial SSU rRNA". It matches the Rfam family "Bacterial small subunit ribosomal RNA", at positions 338 to 947 of the family's 1533-position model. The record is from RNAcentral.